Molecule: long non-coding RNA, 1496 nt
Organism: Macadamia integrifolia
Lineage: Eukaryota; Viridiplantae; Streptophyta; Magnoliopsida; Proteales; Proteaceae
Exons: 2
Source: RefSeq, a predicted model, not a curated record
UUGGGAUAGAUUCAAUGCCAAUGCAAUUUAGACCGAUUGAGAGAAGCUAGGAUUUUUAUCCAACCACAAUGGUGAAUAAGAGAAUCUCAAUAGAUAUUGUAAAUUUGUAACCUAUAGCAUUCUUCUUGUAGAUGCUCUUUGCAAAGGAGAGAGGUUGUGAAGCACAUUCCCUAUUUGAGAUAAUGAUUCAAAGAGGUGUAGAGCCUAAUACCAUCACAUUAGUAGUACAUUAAUGGAUGGAUACUGUUUGCAAGAGAAAAUGGAAGAUGCCCUUAAAAAUUUUCAUUCCAUGGGGGUUAGGGGCCAGAAACCUGAUGUGGUUACCUAUAUGGUGUUGAUUGAUGGGUAGUGUAAGUUUAAAAGGAUAGAUGAGGCCCUGAAGCUCUUGUGGUAAAUUCAUGGCAAGGGGUAGGUGGAUACUACGUGGUUGGCAGAGUUAGGACUGCACAGUUAUACCUGAUAUAAGAGCUUACAGCGUUCUCAUUGAUGGCAUGUUUAAAGCUGGUAGACCUGAAGAUGCGGGCAUGCCCGAGGUCCUCUCGGACAUCCGAUGCUCACUGCACCACCGCACUCACUGCAGAGGAUGUUUUUGCCUUGAAGAUUUGCUAGAAAACCUUUUGAGAAGACUUCUACUUAGGCUUUUAGAAAAGCAAAGAAAAAAAAUUCAAAAAAGUUCAAAUUUGAGAGAAAAAAAUUAAUUUGCCUUAUUGUCUUUUGUACUAUUUUCUUUUCUUUUCUUGGCUUCCAAACAUAGCCUUAUGAUUAAAGGACUAAUGUGAUGCAGGACCAUUAGAAGAAGCUAAUGAGUUGUUCACAGAUGAAAAAGAAAGAAGGGUUCCAGCCAAAUGAAAUCAAUUUCCAAUGGAACAGACCAGUGCUUUCUUUAAAAGAAUGAGAUCCACAGAGCACUACAAUUUCUGAGUGAAAAUCAUUGACAAGGGUUUCUCAUUGAGUGCAAAGAUGAUGUCUGUGAUAUAUAGUGGAUUUGCUUGUUGUGGAUGGACUAGAUCAUGAAUGCCUAUAAAUGCUCCCAGAGGUUCUAUAGUGGAUUUGCUUGCUGUGGAUGAGCUAGCGAAUGCCUAUAAAUGCUCCUACAAGUUCUUGCCAACAGAAGAAAUUUUCAAAAUAACCUGUUUGGAGGGAAGACAAGUGCUUCAUAUUUCAUAUGCCCAGUUGUGGAGAAGAGUGGUUAGAGAACCAGAUGCUAAUAUUGAUACUGUGAAAGCAAUAUCAGAUUCAUUCUGUGACAGCUAUGAAGCCAUUGUAAAACUGAUAUACUCUUGGAGAUUUUCCUGCUUGUAUGCUGCAGAAGCACCUUGAUGCAAUAAGGGUGUAGAAUUUAUGACUUCUCACACUCAUUUCAAAAGAAAUAGUCCAUCUGCUUUCUAUAGCUAAAGAAGAAGCAAAGGAUUCAUCGUCAAUGUAUACUCAAAUGGGUUAAUUACUUGACUUCUGUUGUUAUCAAUGGGAUUGAAUGAUACUAUCAUUUGCAGCAA